AGCGGCGGACGGGUGAGUAACGCGUGGGAACCUGCCCUAUACAGGGGGAUAACAGUUAGAAAUGACUGCUAAUACCGCAUAAGCGCACGGAGCCGCAUGGCCCUGAGUGAAAAACGAUAGUGGUAUAGGAGGGACCCGCGUCUGAUUAGGUAGUUGGUGGGGUAACGGCCCACCAAGCCGACGAUCAGUAGCCGACCUGAGAGGGUGACCGGCCACAUUGGGACUGAGACACGGCCCAAACUCCUACGGAAGGCAGCAG
This 259-nucleotide ribosomal RNA is filed under the name uncultured bacterium. RNAcentral's name for it is "partial 16S ribosomal RNA". It matches the Rfam family "Bacterial small subunit ribosomal RNA", at positions 94 to 354 of the family's 1533-position model. The record is from RNAcentral.